CCUGGCCCCGUGGCUCACGUGCUGGGCAGGUGAGAUCCCUCCCAAAGCUAAGGUUUUCAUGCUUUACAUGACUAAAACUCAUAUUUGAAAAUAAUAUCGAAUCAUCCAAAAAAGCCGUUGGGCAUCUGGCAAGCAAAACACUAUGCUUUUAACAAGAAAGACCUCACAAAACAGCUUCGGGGAGGCUCUGCUCAGGCUGAAGACCAUCAGGCUCGUAGGGGGCUGAGCCUACUUUGUUAAGAAAUGCUCAGAGGCUGAUGAGAAAGGAGAGCGUCAUUGGGAGAACUUCUUUUCUUUUCGAUUGCUAUUUGUCUUCAUGACACCAAGGAGAAGCACAAGGAGAUGCAGCAGCCACAUUUAGUUUGUAAUGGCCUUUCCCCUCUGCUGACCUUUGACCUGGCUGUUUCAAUUACACAGACAUGGAAACGAAACUCAAAACUCAAAAAAACUCGACCAGGUGAUGGUUUAGGAGCUUUUCCCAUUGUGGUGCCGUGGGGGGAGAGAAGUUGAGAAGAAAAUCUCUCCAGUGAGACAGAUCACCUGGGGGCUUCAGCUGACAAAGGGUUAACAGAACGUCAGGUCCAGUUUCCUGCUCGGCGGUUUAAUUGCUGCAGCCAGGGAAACAUUCAAGGGAGAGACGGCUGUUCUGUUCGUGGGGACCUCAUUUUUCAAAGACCUGUCAGGAAGCUAGUCCACGGAAUGGGCUGAAUACAGAAACCGUGAACUGGGUCUCUUUUCCGAAUUCAGAUGACUCAGAUUCUGUUCACUUGUCUCUCUGCAG
Long non-coding RNA from Mustela erminea (ermine), 781 nucleotides. RefSeq lists it as uncharacterized. NCBI's taxonomy places the organism in Eukaryota, Metazoa, Chordata, Mammalia, Carnivora, Mustelidae. The record is from RefSeq and is a predicted model, not a curated record. The transcript has 3 exons.